Molecule: long non-coding RNA, 355 nt
Organism: Notothenia coriiceps (black rockcod)
Lineage: Eukaryota; Metazoa; Chordata; Actinopteri; Perciformes; Nototheniidae
Exons: 2
Source: RefSeq, a predicted model, not a curated record
ACCUCCGUGUGAUGGACGUCCUGUCUGUUUGUUUGGACCUGGUCUGAUGGAGGAGCCCAUGCUGGGCAAAGCUGAUACCAACUGCACAGGCCUAGUCUGUCACUUUAUUUGACCAAAUGUGUUUACUUUAAUAGUUUUAAACCUUCUGUCCAUAUGUGCGUUUUAUUUAAAACAUUUGAUUAACUUUUGGUUCACAUUUCAAUAAAUUGUAUUUGUAUUUGCACUCCUUUCGUCCAUUAUUCUUAAUGAAAAUGUUAGAUUACACAUUCACAUCUGACUGAAGAUUGGCCCCAUUUAUUUGUGACGUUGCAAACUCUGCGGUACAAGGCACAAGUGAUUUGAAGCUCAUAAAGCG